Long non-coding RNA from Poecile atricapillus (Black-capped chickadee), 789 nucleotides. RefSeq lists it as uncharacterized. The record is from RefSeq and is a predicted model, not a curated record. NCBI's taxonomy places the organism in Eukaryota, Metazoa, Chordata, Aves, Passeriformes, Paridae. The transcript has 6 exons.
UAGCAUGUGCGACUGUGUUUCGUGCUGUUACAUGUGGCUAGUAUCUCCUGCUGGCUAUCUGCAGGCAAUUCCUGGCAGAGUGGGAUUUCUGAGCAGCCCUUUGGAAGUGCCUUAAAGACUCCAAAUCUGUGGAGUCCUGGUCCUUGAUGGGAUUUUAGAUUCUGUGGUGGUGACAACGCGUUACAUUUAGUUUCCAGUUCUGUUGCGAUGAAAUAGGAAUUAAAAAGCCUGAGGGGAAAAAGAAAGAAAUGAUAUUGUGUUUAGAGCCAAAUUCUGUUUGCUCAUGGAAAUGGACUGAAAAGCAGGAAGACCAGAUCUAAGUGAUUAUGGAGUGGAUGACUUAAUUACUUGAGAACACCAGUUCUUGGGCUGAGGUGGUCACUCCAGGAGUCAUGGCAACUUUGCUGAAUAACACAAAGAGAAUGCAGCUGAAGUCUGGAGAAGAAUGUAUUUCACUAUUGACCCAUCUGUUACAUCAGACAGGCAUUAAGGAUAUGAUCCCACAUUUUUUUGGUUGAAGGGGAUACUCUGUCUCUGAGGGUGUUCAGGAAAAGUUUUAAUUAAAAACACAGUUUUCUGAACAGAAGAAUUCUGGGUAGCAGGCUAAAAGAAGUACUGCAAAUUUUGGGUGCACUCAGUCUGAAUCAAUACACAAAGAACACAGUUUACACUUUGGUGAACACUGGCCCCUUCAAAACUAAAGUGAAACUGGCCCCUUCUACUUUCUGGUAUGGCAUCUAAAGUUUGGUCAACUUUAAAUAAGCUGAAUGACUGAGAAACAUAUUUUAU